AUUGAACGUUGGCGGCAGGCCUAAUACAUGCAAGUCGAACGGCAGCACAGAGAGCUUGCUCUUGGGUGGCGAGUGGCGGACGGGUGAGUAACGCGUAGGAAUCUACCCAGUAGCGGGGGAUAGCCCGGGGAAACUCGGAUUAAUACCGCAUACGCCCCACGGGGGAAAGGCCGGGAUCUUCGGACCGGUCACUAUUGGAGGAGCCUGCGUUGGAUUAGCUUGUUGGUGGGGUAAAGGCCUACCAAGGCUACGAUCCAUAGCUGGUCUGAGAGGACGAUCAGCCACACUGGAACUGAGACACGGUCCAGACUCCUACGGGAGGCAGCAGUAGGGAAUAUUGUGCAAUGGGCGAAAGCCUGACACAGCCAUGCCGCGUGUGUGAAGAAGGCCCUAGGGUUGUAAAGCUCUUUCGGCCGGGAAGAAAUCGCACAGGUUAAUACCCUGUGUGGAUGACGGUACCGGAAUAAGAAGCACCGGCUAACUACGUGCCAGCAGCCGCGGUAAAGUCAG
RNAcentral lists this ribosomal RNA (510 nucleotides) under uncultured bacterium. RNAcentral's name for it is "bacterial SSU rRNA". It matches the Rfam family "Bacterial small subunit ribosomal RNA", at positions 29 to 530 of the family's 1533-position model. The record is from RNAcentral.